AUGGCGGAGGAACCGUCCGCCAAGCGUCAUCAUGGCGAGACGUCGGACAAGAGCAGCAACCUCGUCGACGUUCACGUCCCCGACGAGAAGCAUGAGUACACGAGAACCCUCACAAGGGUUGAGCUCCACGGCAAGGAGACGCUGGAGAUCGUCUGCACCAGCGAACCAGACAAGGCCGACGAGAUGAUGAGAAGGCUCGGGAUGAAGGGCGGAGGCUUGUAUCCGAGCUUCAUCCGAGUUGAUGUGGAGUACACCAGUGAAGAUGAACCUCCACAUAUGGCAGCAGUCCUGCAGUUGUGCGUCGAGGAACUCUGCUUGGUGUACCACAUCGCAGCGGCCACAAAAUGGCCCAAGCGCCUCAAAGACUUCCUGUAG
Molecule: ribosomal RNA, 375 nt
Filed under: Triticum aestivum (bread wheat)
Lineage: Eukaryota; Viridiplantae; Streptophyta; Magnoliopsida; Poales; Poaceae
Description: partial small subunit ribosomal RNA
Source: RNAcentral